This 233-nucleotide ribosomal RNA is filed under the name uncultured bacterium. RNAcentral describes it as "partial 16S ribosomal RNA". It matches the Rfam family "Bacterial small subunit ribosomal RNA", at positions 100 to 334 of the family's 1533-position model. The record is from RNAcentral.
CGGGACGGGUGAGUAAUGUCUGGGAAACUGCCCGAUGGAGGGGGAUAACUACUGGAAACGGUAGCUAAUACCGCAUAACGUCGCAAGACCAAAGAGGGGGACCUUCGGGCCUCUUGCCAUCGGAUGUGCCCAGAUGGGAUUAGCUAGUAGGUGGGGUAACGGCUCACCUAGGCGACGAUCCCUAGCUGGUCUGAGAGGAUGACCAGCCACACUGGAACUGAGACACGAUCCAG